UCUGCCAUCCUCCCUCCCCUAC
This 22-nucleotide microRNA is filed under the name Homo sapiens (human). Its description in RNAcentral is "hsa-miR-4769-3p". The record is from miRBase by way of RNAcentral. Lineage: Eukaryota; Metazoa; Chordata; Mammalia; Primates; Hominidae.